RNAcentral lists this ribosomal RNA (429 nucleotides) under Bacteroidota bacterium. RNAcentral describes it as "Bacteroidetes bacterium partial 16S ribosomal RNA". It matches the Rfam family "Bacterial small subunit ribosomal RNA", at positions 355 to 776 of the family's 1533-position model. The record is from RNAcentral. Lineage: Bacteria; Pseudomonadati; Bacteroidota.
UAGGGAAUCUUCCGCAAUGGACGCAAGUCUGACGGAGCAACGCCGCGUGAGUGAAGAAGGAUUUCGGUUCGUAAAACUCUGUUGUUAGAGAAGAACAGCGCAUAGAGUAACUGUUAUGCGUGUGACGGUAUCUAACCAGAAAGCCACGGCUAACUACGUGCCAGCAGCCGCGGUAAUACGUAGGUGGCAAGCGUGGUCCGGAUUUAUUGGGCGUAAAGCGAGCGCAGGCGGUCAAUUAAGUCUGAUGUGAAAGCCCCCGGCUCAACCGGGGAGGGUCAAUGGAAACUGGUUGACUGGAGUGCAGAAGAGGAGAGUGGAAUUCCAUGUGUAGCGGUGAAGUGCGUAGAUAUAUGGAGGAACACCAGUGGCGAAGGCGACGCGCUGGUCUGUAACUGACGCUGAGGCUCGAAAGCGUGGGUAGCAAACAGG